UACGUAGGGUGCGAGCGUUGUCCGGAAUUAUUGGGCGUAAAGAGCUCGUAGGCGGCCUGUUGCGUCUGCUGUGAAAGCCCGGGGCUUAACCCCGGGUCUGCAGUGGAUACGGGCAGGCUAGAGUUCGGCAGGGGAGACUGGAAUUCCUGGUGUAGCGGUGAAAUGCGCAGAUAUCAGGAGGAACACCGGUGGCGAAGGCGGGUCUCUGGGCAGUAACUGACGCUGAGGAGCGAAAGCGUGGGGAGCGAACAGG
Molecule: ribosomal RNA, 253 nt
Filed under: uncultured bacterium
Lineage: Bacteria
Description: partial 16S ribosomal RNA
Rfam family: Bacterial small subunit ribosomal RNA
Source: RNAcentral